AAGUCGGUCGUAAUUACAAAAUUGUACCAUCAUUAAGAAAAUACAAAUAAAAAUAUAUCACAUUGGUUAAAUGGAUUUAUUCAUAAUAUACAUAUUAUUAUAGGAUGAUGGAAAGUUUAAUUUAGUAGUAUAGAAGAUAACUACGUCAAAUCACUGAAACGAGAAACACUUUUAAGGUUGUGGCUGUUAUAUUAUAAUCUCAACUAUUUGAUCGCACUUGGAAAAAUAAUAUAAGCCUCUUGUUUAUUCUA
Long non-coding RNA from Aphis gossypii (cotton aphid), 251 nucleotides. RefSeq lists it as uncharacterized. The record is from RefSeq and is a predicted model, not a curated record. NCBI's taxonomy places the organism in Eukaryota, Metazoa, Arthropoda, Insecta, Hemiptera, Aphididae. The transcript has 2 exons.